Molecule: long non-coding RNA, 693 nt
Filed under: Salmo salar (Atlantic salmon)
Lineage: Eukaryota; Metazoa; Chordata; Actinopteri; Salmoniformes; Salmonidae
Description: lncRNA (ENSSSAG00000097313.1)
Source: RNAcentral
CACUUGGCCACUCAUUAAUUGCACUGAGAGUGGAAGUAGAGAGAAGCGCGUUUUACGUUUUGUAAUAGUGGUUAAUAAAAACAGUGUUGACAGUACUGAAUAUAAUUUAGGCAUGAAAUCGGUAAUAAAAACCGCAGCUCUUUGCUGUAUUCUUUGACAGUCUCUCUCUCUGGUCAUGGGUUUAAAUGUUAUUAGUCGCACGUAGGCUAGUAUCAAACUUUGCUAUGGCCAGGCUAGUGGAAGAUGGAGGCACGGUGAUUUGAGCUAUCUGAUUGACCAGGACAGUAGGCACACUUGAUUUAGCCACAGAUCUCCCGGUCUGGCAGUGAAAAUUCCCCCCAAAGGAGGGGUUCGUCGAGGAACCUCCUUAGUUGGUGGGGGUUCUUGCUGGAACUGCCCAACUGAAACAUAUGGAAUUGAAAGGACAGCAGGUGUAGGCACUUAACUGAACAAUGUAAAGAUCGCCUCAAUUUAAGGUAUACAGAUGAGGAGGCAUACAAAGGUAUGUCAAUUGGUAUGUUAUGCAGAUCACAUGUACCACCCUCCCUUACCUCUUCAAUGAAAAUCCCAUAGGCCUCUACAUUAUGGACAAGAGUUGUCAGUUGUCUUGAAAGCACCAUAAAUCCAGAGAAUACCAGACUAUGAUGACAAAGUUUGACAAAAUUUGCCCACGAAGGACUGCUGCACCUUCUU